This 1020-nucleotide ribosomal RNA is filed under the name Triticum aestivum (bread wheat). RNAcentral's name for it is "partial small subunit ribosomal RNA". Lineage: Eukaryota; Viridiplantae; Streptophyta; Magnoliopsida; Poales; Poaceae. The record is from RNAcentral.
AUGGAACCAGCGACUGGCAGGCCGUUCUACUGUUUCAUUCUCGGCGCAGACGCCAGCGGCCAUGAAAGUAUCAUCCCAAUGACUGAUGAGAGGAACUGGGACGACCUCCCGGACGAGCUCGUAUCCAAGGUGGCGGAGCUCCUGCUGCGCUCAGAUGUGACCGACUACAUCCACCUGAGAGACAUCAAGCCUUGGAGAGGCGCCGCCCCGAAGCUCGUGGGAAUGAAUCCGCGCUUCUUCCCACGCCACUGGAAGAUGCUGCAGAUCCAAGGUGAGGAAGCCAGGUUCGUGAACGUCCUCACCGGCGCCUCCAUGCGGCUCAAGAUCCCUCGGCACUACGGGCAGGUCCUUGCCUGCGCCGAGGGCUGCCUGCUCUUCGCCGCACCCUCAGGCCGGGGCGCGCACAAGCUGCGCCUGUGCAACCCGGUGACCAGGGCCGUCGCCGACCUACCCAAUCUCAUGACCAGAGUUAUUUCACAAGACUUCAAGGCCGCAGGAAUCAUCUAUGACGUCGACGACGGCGAGGCUCCCACGCCCACCGUGGUGCUCCUCGUGGCGGUAUCGGUGUGGUCCAUUGACAUGGUCCUCUACGCGAGGCCUGGCGACGCCGUGUGGCAGUGGCAAUUCUUCGCCCCAAACGAGGACGGCGAGCUUCCGUUGUUCCAAGGCAAGGGCAGCCUCUCCCUGGGCGGCAACUUCUACGUCCCCACCCGCUCAGGGGACGUCCUCAAGCUGGAGCUCCACCCGCAGCCUCACUUCGUGUACGCGGCCACGCAGCAGGAGGUCACUAAUCAGGCCAGUCACUUACACUUAAACCUGAGGUCCUACCUGGUGCCGUCUGUCGAUGCAGGGAUGCUGCUGGUGGUUCGUAGGUUCGAGCACAUUGCCGGAUACAUAGCCGUGUCCAACGUAGUGUUCGAGGUGAACCUCGCAGAGGGCACCCUUACACUACUACAGGACCACAAGGACAUCGGCAAUCGGAGCAUUUUUCUCUGGUGGUUGACGCUCGGCACGCACUGA